Molecule: ribosomal RNA, 482 nt
Filed under: uncultured bacterium
Lineage: Bacteria
Description: partial 16S ribosomal RNA
Rfam family: Bacterial small subunit ribosomal RNA
Source: RNAcentral
GGAUGAACGCUGGCGGCGUGCCUAACACAUGCAAGUCGAACGGAGAUUACGGACGGAAGUUUUCGGAUGGAAGACUGUAAUUCUUAGUGGCGGACGGGUGAGUAACGCGUGGGCAACCUGCCCUAUACAGGGGGAUAGCAGCUGGAAACGGCUGGUAAGACCGCAUAAGUCGGCGAGACCGCAUGGUUUUGCCGGGAAAUGAGCAAUCAGGUAUAGGAUGGGCCCGCGUCCGAUUAGCCAGUUGGCAGGGUAAAAGCCUACCAAAGCAACGAUCGGUAGCCGGACUGAGAGGUCGGACGGCCACAUUGGGACUGAGACACGGCCCAAACUCCUACGGGAGGCAGCAGUGGGGGAUAUUGCACAAUGGAGGAAACUCUGAUGCAGCGACGCCGCGUGAGUGAAGAAGUAUUUCGGUAUGUAAAGCUCUAUCAGCAGGGAAGAUGAUGACGGUACCUGACUAAGAAGCCCCGGCUAACUACGUG